UCUAACUCUACAGAAAUUCUUUG
This 23-nucleotide non-coding RNA is filed under the name Rattus norvegicus (Norway rat). The record is from RNAcentral. Lineage: Eukaryota; Metazoa; Chordata; Mammalia; Rodentia; Muridae.